CGUUUGAUCCCGGCGGAGGCCAUUCGCUAUCGGAGUCCGAUUUAGCCAUGCUAGUCGCACGAACUCAGAUUCGUGGCGUAUAGCUCAGUAACACGUGGCCAAACUGCCCUACAGACCGCACUAACCUCGGGAAACUGAGGCCAAUGGCGGAUACAGCUCUCAUGCUGGAGUGCCGAGAGCUGGAAACGUUCCGGCGCUGUAGGAUGUGGCUGCGGCCGAUUAGGUAGAUGGUGGGGUAACGGCCCACCAUGCCGAUAAUCGGUACAGGUUGUGACAGCAAGAGCCUGGAGACGGUAUCUGAGACAAGAUACCGGGCCCUACGGGGCGCAGCAGGCGCGAAACCUUUACACUGCACGACAGUGCGAUAGGGGGACUCCGAGUGCGAGGGCAUACUAGCCCUCGCUUUUCUGAACCGUAAGGUGGUUCAGGAACAAGGACUGGGCAAAACCGGUGCCAGCCGCCGCGGUAAUACCGGCAGUCCGAGUGAUGGCCGAUCUUAUUGGGCCUAAAGCGUCCGUAGCCUGCCGUGUAAGUCCGUUGGGAAAUCGGCCAGCUCAACUGGCCGGCGUCCAGCGGAAACUGCGCGGCUUGGGGCCGAGAGACUCGACGGGUACGUCCGGGGUAGGAGUGAAAUCCUGUAAUCCUGGACGGACCACCGAUGGCGAAAGCACGUCGAGAGACCGGACCCGACGGUGAGGGACGAAAGCUGGGGUCUCGAACCGGAUUAGAUACCCGGGUAGUCCCAGCUGUAAACAAUGCCUGCUAGGUAUGUCACGCGCCAUGAGCGCCUGAUGUGCCACAGUGAAGACGAUAAGCAGGCCGCCUGGGAAGUACGUCCGCAAGGAUGAAACUUAAAGGAAUUGGCGGGGGAGCACCACAACCGGAGGAGCCUGCGGUUUAAUUGGACUCAACGCCGGACAUCUCACCGGUCCCGACAGUAGUCAUGACGGUCAGGUUGACGACCUUACCCGACGCUACUGAGAGGAGGUGCAUGGCCGCCGUCAGCUCGUACCGUGAGGCGUCCUGUUAAGUCAGGCAACGAGCGAGACCCA
Molecule: ribosomal RNA, 1052 nt
Filed under: uncultured archaeon
Lineage: Archaea
Description: bacterial SSU rRNA
Rfam family: Archaeal small subunit ribosomal RNA
Source: RNAcentral